GGUGGGGUGGCAGAGCGGCCAUGCGUUCGCCUGCAGAGCGAAUAUAUAGGGGUUCGAAUCCCCUCCCCACCU
This 72-nucleotide transfer RNA is filed under the name Thermoproteota archaeon. RNAcentral's name for it is "tRNA-Cys". It matches the Rfam family "tRNA". Rfam says of the family: Transfer RNA (tRNA) molecules are approximately 80 nucleotides in length. Their secondary structure includes four short double-helical elements and three loops (D, anti-codon, and T loops). The record is from RNAcentral. RNAcentral also lists the same sequence under 1 other name. Lineage: Archaea; Thermoproteati; Thermoproteota.